AGGGCCGGCCCUGAGGGAAGCGAGCCACACAUGCUCACUGGCCACCAGCGGCUGACCGGCCCACCGGCCAGGCGGCUUGACUGUGCUGCCACCUAAUGGCCAAAGCUCACAUGGGCACAAAUGGGUACCAGUGCCAUGGCCAAGAGCGAGCUGAUGAACAGCUCUAUGGGCAAGCCUGGCAUGGAGGGCAGACGGGGGCGACUGGCACUACAGCCCUGCCAGGACCGUCUGGACCCCCUCCACGCUGCCAGUCACACAAUCGAAAAGAAAAAAGGGAAAAAGUGUUCCUGCUCAAGAAGCUAACAUUCUGCUGUGGGAGAAAUUUAUCAUGGAAAUGACCUGUGCGCUUGUGGGUCUUGUGCAUGUGAACACACACAUGCACAAACAUUCAAGGAGGAAAUGGCGUGUGCCUGUGUGUGGUACCCCCCUCACAAAGCACCCCGAAGAGAAAAAAAUGAGACAAACACAAGGUGCACAAAUGGUGUUUAAAAAGAUUGUGUGACUCGGGAUCUUCACUAAACUCAGAAUCCACUCUCACCCGUAAAAUCUGGGGCUUCCAGAUGCAGUCUCCAAUCUCCAGCCACAACACAGCCCUGGGCCCAAGCACACAAGCCUAUAGCACAGAUCCUGCCUCCCUCCCUCACGACAGAAGGUCUCCCAUUCAUCUCUCUGAGGCAGCUCAGUCAGCACGAGCGAAACCAGGAACCCUGAAUUUUCAUUUCUGACACUGGCCUUUCAAGCUAGCUGGGGAAAGCAGAGACUUCUGGAGCUCCCCCCUCCCACCCCUUUUAAACCAAGGCUCUGAUUGAGUCACAAUCUCUGUCCCCUCGCUGUCUUCUGUGAU
This is a long non-coding RNA of Antechinus flavipes (yellow-footed antechinus), 844 nucleotides long. RefSeq lists it as uncharacterized. The transcript has 3 exons. NCBI's taxonomy places the organism in Eukaryota, Metazoa, Chordata, Mammalia, Dasyuromorphia, Dasyuridae. The record is from RefSeq and is a predicted model, not a curated record.